RNAcentral lists this long non-coding RNA (2678 nucleotides) under Solanum lycopersicum (tomato). RNAcentral describes it as "long non-coding RNA (SLYC_LNC000441)". The record is from RNAcentral. Lineage: Eukaryota; Viridiplantae; Streptophyta; Magnoliopsida; Solanales; Solanaceae.
AUAUGAGCACAUAUAACCAAAACUAAAACUAAGCAAAUUGGAUAGAAGAGGAGCUUGCAACUCAUGUAAUUAUUCUACCAAGAUUCAUGCCGCGAAAUCCAUAAGACAAUGCUACUGACUCACAUCUAAAACCUAUCCAAACUGAACCAAAAUAAAUUCAAACAUAUUCAGGAGCUAGACAAACUAUUUUUGAUCAAAUUGAACAUUAGAACUUGAAGCCUCACAUCAUCAAAUAGCAAUUGAGAACAAUCAGAUGUAGAUAUACAACAACUAAGUUAGAAGAUGCGUAAAGAAACGUAAUAAGUACCCAAGAACAGGAAUACUACAAGAUUGAGCAAAAUUUCCAUAUUUUGAAUAAUGAUUACAACACUUAAAACAGAAAUCGAGCCACACUUGGAGAAAAAGGUAAACAAUCAGAUUUUACAGCCCCAUUUUGAGAACCCAGAACAGUUCCAGCAGAUGAAAGAGGUAGACACACUUGGAGACGAGCUAUCAAUAAAACCUAUGGGAAAAGUUAAAACGAAACAAAGACGAACUACUAUCAUAACCAUACCAAAAUAAAAAUUGGAACACCAAGACAUCAUAUAUGCAGGGACAAAGAAGAUUAUACGGUAUCUUUUAACACAGAUAGAAAACUAUCACGAUCAAAUCGAAAACUACUACCAAAAGCGCAAAUAAGCAGUGGAGCGAUAAAACAUAUAAUAGGGACACUUAAUAUUGCGACAGAAUGAACGACAAACCAGCAUGUUAGAUCAUUAUAUAGAUAAGAAGUAUAAAAAUAGACAUCUUUUAUCAAGCCACACGUCAAUAUAAGAGAAAAAUAAAAUCACAAAGGGAGACCAUAAGAUAGAAGAAAAGAUUUGAUCACGAAAUGAGUCUACAUGUGAAGAGUUUCAAUCAAGGGCAGGGGAUGUGGUCCUAGUGGAAGCUUCUUGUUACAUUUGUUGCUUAUUGCAGACAAACGGACCAAAGUGCAGGAAAGUAGCAAUCCACCUACAAUGGCGACAUAAUCAAUUGUUUUCUUCGUUGAACUAGCUAUGCCUUUCUGCUUUCAUUAUUAUACACCCCCUUAAUUUCAAUGCAAUAAAUAUGUUAUUCCUUGGUUGGAAUAAAAUGUAGGAUUUCCAAAUAAUUUAAAUGAGGCCAUAUGAAAAUAUCAAUAAAAAUAAUAAUUGUACUACACUAUAUUAUUGUUGUUGUUUUAACAAAUCUUUAUAAAUAUGUAGUAAAUAAUUAAAUUCAACAUUAAUAGUCACAUUCACGCGGUAAAUAAGUGACAGUUUUGAGCAAUAAGAUGACAUAUCUGUUUGGUUGGGGUUAGCAUUGAUUCGGUCUGAAAAAUCCUACUUUAAAGGUAAGCGGGCAACCUCUUUAUUGCCAAUACUAUCAGUCAAUCUCGAUUAUAUUGCCUAAUUUUCUCUCUUUAACCAUCAUAUUACCACAAGGAAAAGGUUAAGGUGUGCAGUUAGGACCCUGACAGCAAAGUUAUAAAUCAAUUUAAAGCCAAACUUUAACAAAUCAAGAACAAGAUAUGACGAGUUAACACCAAAAUAAGCAUGGAUAGCAUUCAAGUAAUGCGAUAACACAAAUCACCCUACGAGAUUAAGCUAACAUAGAUGAGAAUCUAUAACAACGAAAGAGAAGACAACCAAGAUAACAAUCAAACAAAUUGUACAACCAGUGCACUCAAGAUCACAACCAAACAAACAUUAGAUCAUUUCAAGAUUUAGCUAGCUUUCAGAACAUGAUUAUGCUACAUCAAAGCCAUGAAACCGAUUCAACACUUUACAUACAACAUGUCAUGUCCCCCCACUUCAUAGUUUAAAUAUGACACCGAAAUAAGGGGAAAAAUCUAGAGUUGUAAGGAGGUUAGUAGAACACUCUAUAAUUCGCUAGAGAAUUUUCCAAAAGACUCCAGAAUAACUUAGAAGCUUUCUUGUAAAGCUUUAGAAUUUCCUAGAAUUAGUAGAGAAUUCUAGAACAUGGACUAAAGUGUAAUAAGUAGGGACUUGUAAAGUAAAUGAUAUUUUACACUUAGGCCCUUGUGAAGUAGUAUAAAUAGAAAAACUUCUCAUUUGUAAGGCAUUCAACCAAAUUGUAAGCAAUACACGUCUUCUUCCAAAAGCUUUUAAGUCUUUCAUUACAUUUUCUUAGCGAUCUUAGUUUAAAGGGCUUACUUAGCUUACAAGAUUGUGAAAAAAUUCGUGAAUACUUUUGUCAAGUGCAUCACGGAACAUAAGCUCGUGAUAACGACUCAUAACAUUCUUAGUAAAACAAAUAAAAAGAAGGCGAAAAAUAAAGAAAAACGACUCAUAAAAUUCUUAGUAAAACAAAUAAAAAGAAGGCGAAAAAUAAAGAAAAACGACUCAUAAAAUUCUUAGUAAAACAAAUAAAAAGAAGGCGAAAAAUAAAGAAAAAGAUACCUCAUAUGGAGCAGCGAUCCAUGACGACACAGGAAUAAAGCAGUAGCGUCAAAUGCUCGAAUAGAAGAAAAACGAACUCCGAUUGUGUAUUUUUGCCUAUAUAGUAACCUUCUCCUUUGUUUUUCAACUCUAAUUUUUAUUUUUCAAACCUUUUGAACGAUGAAGUAAGGAGGUUUAUAUAGGUCAAAUUUGGGGUGGGGGAAUGAACGUUAGGAUGGGAAAAUUCAGAACGUCCAAAUUGUUGUGGAUUUUAAC